CGAGAUAUAGCAUAUAUAAUGCCCCUUACUUACACUAAGGAAAAAACGUCAGUUUAUCUCG
RNAcentral lists this transfer RNA (61 nucleotides) under Tubifex tubifex (sludge worm). RNAcentral describes it as "tRNA-Val". Lineage: Eukaryota; Metazoa; Annelida; Clitellata; Tubificida; Naididae. The record is from RNAcentral.